Molecule: ribosomal RNA, 561 nt
Filed under: Staphylococcus aureus
Lineage: Bacteria; Bacillati; Bacillota; Bacilli; Caryophanales; Staphylococcaceae
Description: partial 23S ribosomal RNA
Rfam family: Bacterial large subunit ribosomal RNA
Source: RNAcentral
UAGGGCGUUUAGUAUUUGGUCGUAGACCCGAAACCAGGUGAUCUACCCUUGGUCAGGUUGAAGUUCAGGUAACACUGAAUGGAGGACCGAACCGACUUACGUUGAAAAGUGAGCGGAUGAACUGAGGGUAGCGGAGAAAUUCCAAUCGAACCUGGAGAUAGCUGGUUCUCUCCGAAAUAGCUUUAGGGCUAGCCUCAAGUGAUGAUUAUUGGAGGUAGAGCACUGUUUGGACGAGGGGCCCCUCUCGGGUUACCGAAUUCAGACAAACUCCGAAUGCCAAUUAAUUUAACUUGGGAGUCAGAACAUGGGUGAUAAGGUCCGUGUUCGAAAGGGAAACAGCCCAGACCACCAGCUAAGGUCCCAAAAUAUAUGUUAAGUGGAAAAGGAUGUGGCGUUGCCCAGACAACUAGGAUGUUGGCUUAGAAGCAGCCAUCAUUUAAAGAGUGCGUAAUAGCUCACUAGUCGAGUGACACUGCGCCGAAAAUGUACCGGGGCUAAACAUAUUACCGAAGCUGUGGAUUGUCCUUUGGACAAUGGUAGGAGAGCGUUCUAAGGGCGUUG